UGAACUCAUAAAACCGUUCUCAGUUCGGAUUGUAGGCUGCAACUCGCCUACAUGAAGCUGGAAUCGCUAGUAAUCGCGGAUCAGCAUGCCGCGGUGAAUACGUUCCCGGGCCUUGUACACACCGCCCGUCACACCACGAGAGUUUGUAACACCCGAAGUCGGUGGGGUAACCUUUAUGGAGCCAGCCGCCUAAGGUGGGACAGAUGAUGGGGGAAGUCGUAACAAGAGCAAGGCGGG
RNAcentral lists this ribosomal RNA (237 nucleotides) under Bacillus cereus. Its description in RNAcentral is "partial 16S ribosomal RNA". It matches the Rfam family "Bacterial small subunit ribosomal RNA", at positions 1269 to 1506 of the family's 1533-position model. The record is from RNAcentral. Lineage: Bacteria; Bacillati; Bacillota; Bacilli; Caryophanales; Bacillaceae.